GAUGAAGAACGUAGCGAAACGCGAUAGGUAAUGUGAAUUGCAGAAUUCAGUGAAUCAUCGAAUCUUUGAACGCACAUUGCGCCCCCUGGUAUUCCGGGGGGCAUGCCUGUCCGAGCGUCAUUACAACCCUCAAGCUCAGCUUGGUGUUGGGCCCCGCCGCCCCGGCGGGCCCUAAAGUCAGUGGCGGUGCCGUCCGGCUCCGAGCGUAGUAAUUCUUCUCGCUCUGGAGGUCCGGUCGUGUGCUCGCCAGCAACCCCCAAUUUUUUUCAGGUUGACCUCGGAUCAGGUAGGGAUACCCGCUGAACUUAAGCAUAUCAAUAAGCGGAGGA
This 329-nucleotide unclassified non-coding RNA is filed under the name soil metagenome. Its description in RNAcentral is "partial contains 5.8S ribosomal RNA, internal transcribed spacer 2, and large subunit ribosomal RNA". The stretch from base 1 to 120 matches the Rfam family "5.8S ribosomal RNA", at positions 35 to 154 of the family's 154-position model. The record is from RNAcentral.